Molecule: non-coding RNA, 72 nt
Organism: Phrynosoma platyrhinos (Desert horned lizard)
Lineage: Eukaryota; Metazoa; Chordata; Lepidosauria; Squamata; Phrynosomatidae
Source: the annotation of a GenBank genome assembly
UCCAAUGUGGUAUAAUGGUGUGAACAUUGGACUGUGACUCUGGAGACCAGGGUUCAAAUCCCUGCUCAGCCA